Molecule: long non-coding RNA, 288 nt
Organism: Zingiber officinale
Lineage: Eukaryota; Viridiplantae; Streptophyta; Magnoliopsida; Zingiberales; Zingiberaceae
Exons: 3
Source: RefSeq, a predicted model, not a curated record
GACGGCAGCGAGAGCUGCUUCGCCGCCGGCGGCAGAGCAGCUCGAUCGUAAAGUUAAUCCCUGGAACAUCCUGCAAGAUGACACGAACGACGAGCUGCCGAUGGCAAGGACGCACUCGCUUCAGCGUUUCCUGGAGAAGCGCCGUGAAAGGAUGAUGGAGAGAUCCCCUCACAACUAUUAUUCAGCAAACUCCUUGUACGUGGAAGGGCCGUCUCAUGCUCAAGGGAUGCCUCCUCCAUUUGCCUAGCUUCGGUACGUUGCAAACUUGCAGAACCAUGAACUUACUGC